CGCGCAUCCAAACUUCCGUAUUUCCUGUUUCAUACUUUCUCUUCUCAUUUUACCUGAAAUGCAGCUCUGUCAGGAGUUUAAACUUACUUUACUCGCAUUGCUUUCAGUCGCCUUUCUGCUCUGCGGUCCUAAUGUGAGCUCCGGAGACACUUUGAGUAAAUUAAACAGCUCAGAAGUGGAUUUCUGGGCGUUCAUUCGAAAGUUUCAGCGCGAGUAUGAAGACAGCGAGGAGUUCGAACGUCGGUAUUUCUACUUCCAGAAUGCUACUAAGCGGCACGUCUCCCUGAACUCGUUUUCCUCAGAGCUGCAGUCAGCUCAAUACGGGAUCAAUCAGUUUUCUGACCUCUCACAGGAGGAAUUCAGAGAUGUGUACCUGCGGGCCGUCUUCCACCGAGCGCCUCCUUUCUCUGGGCUGACGGCGCCGAAGCUGCCCGCCAAACUGGACUGGAGGGACAAGGCGGUGGUGGCGCCGGUCCAGGACCAAGGAGCUUGUGGAAGCUGCUGGGCGUUCAGCGUGGUCGGCGCCAUCCAGUCUGUUCGCGCCAUCGGAGGCUCACAGCUGGUGCAGCUCAGCGUGCAGCAGCUCAUCGACUGCUCCUUCCAGAACGCCGGCUGCAGCGGCGGCUCCCCGUCCUCGGCUCUUCGGUGGUUAGAGCAGACCAGGCUGAAGUUGGCGACGCAGUCGGAAUACCCGUACCAGGCGGCCACGGGAAUCUGCCGCUUCUUCUCCCCGUCACAUGGCGUGGUCGCAGUGAGGAACUUCACAGCUCAUGAUUUCAGCGGUCAGGAGGAGGCCAUGAUGGCUGAGCUGCUGCAGCGCGGCCCCCUGGUCGCCGUCGUGGACGCCGUCAGCUGGCAGGACUACCUGGGCGGGAUCAUCCAGCACCACUGCUCCAGCCACUACUCCAACCACGCCGUGCUGGUCGUCGGAUACGACACCACAGGGAAUAUACCCUACUGGAUAGUGCAGAACUCCUGGGGAACAACAUGGGGGAACCAAGGCUAUGUUUAUAUCAAAAUGGGUGGGAACAUCUGCGGUAUUGCCGACUCGGUUGCAGCCGUUUUUCUCUGACAGGAUGGGGGAAUCACUCCGUGAACACAUGAACCACUGCCUGCCUGUGUUUUUUGCUCCAAAAUACAAAUCAGUCGUCUGUUGGAGUUGUUGUUUUUUUCACUUUUGUCACUUUAUUAAACAGUUCACAUUUACAAAUAAAUCACUUCCUGUGUUUCGCAUUAAAUAUACAUCACUGCAAAACAGCACUAAUAUGAACAGCCUCACUGUACAAAAUGCUUCUUAAAUACAUGUUGUUGGUGACAUUCAUGUCUGUACAGAGAUUACGUCAAUCACUGCACGAAUACAUAGAAGAACCAACAUAUCGCCACAUAAAACACUAUACAGACCUCCACAACAGCUACAUUACUAUGUACAGACUGAUAUCUUAUCACUGAUGCUAAUGUUUUGGGGUUUUGUCUUUCUCAGCGCAGUGCCUUCUGAUGGCGGCGGUCUGAAAUGACCUCACCUCGCUGUUAAGGAAAGACAUUCCAGUAAAAAACCCCUCGUCAUCCCCAAAGCUGUGCCAGCGCGCCGGGUUUGAUCGCCGACGGCUUUGUUUUCAGGUCACUCUAAUGUCAUUUACAUAAUUUGAUUGAGGAAACAUCUAAGCAGCUCUUAUCGAAGAGCCAUCUGCGGCACUUCGUGACUGGCGGUCAAGAUGAGAGCAAAGUCGUCCAGAUCGGCGCCGCCAUUAAUCUGCCGCGAAGACAAUGUGUCACGUGCGCCGUCAUCUUAUUACUUCCCACUUUGUUUUAUUUGUUUUUGUCUUUCUUUGCUCGAAAUGUACAAACUUUACACCUGUUGUUUCUCAGUAUUUACAUAACCAGUGCAUACACGUCAGAACAAUCAACCAUUUACAUUUCUAUUCAAGGAUUUCAACUGAUUUAAAACGUCAAAUUAAAUCACAGCACACUCUAAAAUGUUUCUCUCAUCGCAAUGAGUUUUUUGAAUCACUGCAUUUGACUGUAAUUGAGUGUGUCCAGGUGUAACUCAGCCGUCUCCUACAGCAGGUUGCAUGGAGCCGUUCGUAAGCCGGACGGAUUGAUGGAUUAAAGAAAGCAGUUUCUCAUGCCUCGCAGGUAAAUCUACCGUCUCUGAGCUCGUGAGCCUGCGACAUGAAGGAGGCGCGCUCCGCCCACGCGGACGCCCCGCUGCGAGGCACGCUCUAGUCUGAGUCCUCGCUGCUGCAGUAGGAGCUGUCGCAGCACUCGGCCAUGUACAGGAAGGUGUGAACGUUGGGAUUCAUCUUGGGCACCCAGUGGCGAGGCACCAGGAAAUUUGCCAGAGAAAUGAAAUGAAGCGGGGUGUGUUUGCAGAGGGAAAUGUGCCAUCAUGAGAUGAGAAGUCGGCGUUACCUGACGGUGGAUCUCAGGGUGUCAAUAUCCAUGAGGGAUGUGAGCAGCUGGAAAGGAACCUGGAAGCGCGGCUCUUCCCUGAAAGAAAUGGGACUUACGUGUCCGCUGAUGAAGAUCUCUCGCACCGAGUCCAGCUCGAACAGGAUCUGCUUGAACCACAGCUCAUAAGCUGCAAUAAAACACAAAAGGUUAAAGCACCAGUGGCAUUUUAAUGUCUCCUUACAAGGCCAUUCUGGACCAGAUUCCCCUCUUCAGUUGGCACCUUUUGGUCUCGUGAGCCACGUGUUUAACACCCGUGCUGCCUGCUGAAGGCCUGAUGAAAGACGAGUAAUGGAAAUAUGGGCCUUUAAAUGUUUGUUGUCCUUGGAGGAGUGAUCAGGUAUGCUUUCAAUUCACCACAACCUCAUUAGAGAACUCACUCUGUUGACUAUUUCAUGUCUUCAUAAUUAUAUAAUAACCUGGGCUGAUGCUCCUGAUUGCGUAUUUCGAGCAUCACGUCGGUGAUCGCUGCGUUUGUACCGAUCGGUUGGCUCUGAAUCGCUGCGGCUGUGAUCCUAACGUGUUUUCGCUUCGCCGGAGAAGUUGAACUUCUGUCGCUUCCUUGAUGUGCAUCUGCAUGCACACCCCGACCCGCCGGACGAAUUCCAGCUCCGCGCAGUCAGAGUGGAGCGUGGUGUGGCCCGUGGCUUUCUUCUGGGAAGUAAUGUGUGUCCAAGCCUGCUCUUGCAGAUUGUAAAAUCAUUUCAUGUUUGGUGGUGAGAUUCCAUAUGGCUGCCUUCUACAAAAAAAAAAAAAAAAACAGAAAAAGAUUGAAGAGAGACUCAUCUGAAUUAUGCAACAUGCUUGAUUUUUUUUUUCUAUUGCUCUGAUGUGGUUAUUGCACAAUGAUUGUGGGUCUUUGAUGCUCUUGCGGAGUCGUGCCAUCUCUUUUAUGUGAGCCUUUGAAGUAGGCCUAGUUGCGCGGCGUGGCGAUGCGGCACGCUGUUGCCUUGGCACUGCCUUCUGUGGUCACAGUGUGAUACUGCAGCGCCUCAUUUUCAUAUCACCACUUUAACUAUUCCAUUUGACGCCUCUUUCAAUUAACCUGCAAGAGUCCAGAAGUGUUUUUUUUAUAUAUAUAUAUAUUUUUCCUCCUCCAAACAUUGGGCUCACUAAUCAGUGGAAUUUGACUGAGCUGUUUGAAGUCGGAGCUCAAAGCGGCAGUAUGUUGAGUUUUAUAGAAGCACAGCGAUGGCUGCUGUAGUGAGACGCUGCUCUACUUUGAGAUAGGCAGAUAAAACACGCCGCUCUGUGAUUGGACGACUCUGUGAACUAUGCACUUUGCACCACUAGGGAGCAUCAGAGGACUUUUAAGAGAAUGGGGGAUUUAAAUGCAUCAUAUUAGACUCGGCCGAGUGUCUGUUCGGGGUCUUUUCUGCAGGGCCUCCACUCGCUCUGUGUUGAUAUAUCAAAAACAAAUGGGCCGGCUUGAAGAAGUUCACUGUAAUUUCACUGUGGAAGAACAAUAGACAGGCGCUCACUGGGGGUCUUUAAUAAAACAUUUCAUUACGAGUCGGUGGUGAGGGGAGGUGGUAUACCCUCAGGGAGUCUGAUGAGAAGACAUGAAUGCUGGAUUUGAAGAGGAGCAACAUUCAAAGAGAUGUACCUUUGUGGAGCUGAACAUGUCAUAAAACAUUUGGAAUUAAAAAAAAAACAACAUGUAAAGAAUCGGGGGGGGGGGGGGGGGGGGGUGCUGCAGCACUUGAGAGGUCAGAAACAACAGCAUAAAAGAACUUUUGAGCAAAGAAUAUUCUGGCUGGUAUUUGGUUUGAAAUGCUGUUUGAAGUUUACCAUGAAAAAGAAGCUGCGUUCAGACGACGGGCUUGUUUUCAACUGUUCUGUAUUCCAUCAUCAAAACGCCGGCAGGCUUUGAUGAGCAGCACUCCACAGGAAAACUGAUCACAACUCACACCAAAUUUAAACAAUAUCACAUGCUCUUAAAGUCUUCUGCGAACAUGACGCCGGCCGGGAAGUUUCUCAGUGGAAGUUAAUUCCAAUUAGAAUUUCUUCAGCUGCAAUUAACACACGGCGGUUCAAAGCCGGGCUGCGCUUGUCUUCUCGGGCUUCGCUUUGGAGCGGAGAAGACGUAAAGUCGUUGAUGUAAAAUGCGAUUAUGAUGAUUUUGGAAAGUGAUUUGUGUGUGUGUGUGUCUGUGUGUGAAUAACCCCACCAGCUU
Molecule: RNA transcript, 4624 nt
Organism: Salarias fasciatus (jewelled blenny)
Lineage: Eukaryota; Metazoa; Chordata; Actinopteri; Blenniiformes; Blenniidae
Gene: ctso
Gene name: cathepsin O
Exons: 13
Source: RefSeq, a predicted model, not a curated record